This is a long non-coding RNA of Astatotilapia calliptera (eastern happy), 3519 nucleotides long. The record is from Ensembl. NCBI's taxonomy places the organism in Eukaryota, Metazoa, Chordata, Actinopteri, Cichliformes, Cichlidae.
GUGAGACGAGGGAGGCCGUGUUCAGGUGUGGAGUGGGGCGGGACUGUGCGGCGACGCGCUGUCCGGAGGAGACAGGUCUGCGAUAGGAGCCUCCUCCCUGGUCUGUUGCUGGCGAGUUUCCCCAUCCCGGAAGAGAAGUUCCUCUCCUGUCCUCGCCCAUUUGUGGCUGGACUGUGGGAUUAUGGGACUGUGGGAGGACGUGGUGGUGAAGAUUUAGGUCCACCAGUCUUAGCGGCUACAAGUACACCUCUCUGAACAGUGUCUGGGAGGCUGUGGUUGCUGCUGCACGCAAUGUUGAUGGUGAACAGAUCAAAACACUGACAGAAUCCAUGGAUGGCAGGCUUUUGAGUGUCCUUGCAAAGAAAGAACAGUUCUCCACAGUCGCUGUCCACAUGGGUCAGUGGGACAAAGAAGCGCUCUGCUAAUGUGUGGACUCUGACCAGCAACAUCCAGCAAGACCCAGACAGCGUUUUCUAUCUCCCAGCUGGAGUUUUUUGUUUGUCUGUGACUGGAGAGUCAGAUUUUUGUUGAGCUUCACACUUGCAGAGGUAAGUCAGUUUGUAGAGAUCCCUCCCACCCUGGCUUUUAUGUCCUAGAUUUCUUAUCGGAAACAGUAAUAUUUCAGUGACUGCUGCUUAUAGCACAGGUUAAUACACGCUACUGAUCCCUGAUAGGAGAAUCAUCAGUUUUGGCAACAAAGAAGCCUGGUGGAUGGUUUUUUUUUUUUUUUUUUUUACAGUCUGAUGAUGGGACAUCGUGCUCUGCAUCUUCAAAGUUUGCCUCCUCGUUAUUAUUCAUACCCAGUAAUGUGAAGUAUGCUUAUAUCUACCGUAGCUGCCUCCACCAGUGUGUGAAUGUGAGAGUGAAUGAAUAGUGGCAUUGUAAAGCGCUUUGGGUGCCUUGAAAAGCGCUAUAUAAAUCCAAUCCAUUAUUAUCUACUAUAACUGAACCAACCUGGUGCUCUUCAUUUAUGGAGGCUGUUGAGUCUGAAUGUUGGAUAUUGUGUAUCUCGUGUUCUCUGGGCUUUGUUGUCCUCAGUUUUUUUGCAGGAUCAGAAAACAAAACCAGGAGGCGUGUAAAUGUUUCUUCUCCAUGAUGUUUCUUCAAAUGUUUCUUCUGGAUGAUGAUAAGACUGUGACACGGGAUGCCACCUUUGGUCACCUUUGAUGAAGCAAAGCUCAGGAAGAAGUCUGAUUAAAUGGUACCCACAUGUUGAGGGAUGUACAGGGGCACCUGCAGCCAAAUCCAAGCUUCAGGUUAGUUGUAGUUGCAGAACGCUAUAGACUGAGACAGCUGAGGCAUCAAAUGUUUGAUUAAACGGAUGAAAAAGAGAAGUUUCUUCCCUAUAAUUAUCACUUCUUAAAAUCUGUAGCAACUUCAAGUCUGUCAGCAUGCUGAGCAUGCUCAGAAUGUGACAAUAUAUUUUUGUUCAAUAUUUAAUUUCUUUCAGUUGCAAUUGUUAAAUGGGAAAAAAAUAAAAAUUUAUUCUUAUAAUUUAGCAAACUAACUUAUCAAAAAAAAUAUACAUGUAUUUGUAUUAGUUUUAAUAAAUUAAUUUGACACCUGUAUUGAAAAUACCAUAUUGUGGCAUUCUUAUUACUAACCAAAUCUGAAGCGCAAAGUAAUAUUAUUUCUAAAUUACAUAACAGCAUCCUGCGGUGUAAAAACGACAGCACUCUGUAUAUUAAAGCGAAGUGGGAAAAGGAGGGUAAUUUGUCAAUUACAGACAAGUGUUGGGCUCACGCAUGCAAGAUACAGUGGGCUCCCACUGGGUCUAAUGUUUGGUGUGAAUUUUGCUGGAAAAGCAUUGAGAUUUUUCAUUAUCCUUGCUCAACAAAGAUAUUGAGGAAUUGGUGAUAAAUGUUGAAGAUGUGGGGGAGACGGAGCUAACCAUUUCCACAUCUUUUGGGACUGUAAAGUUAUUCGCCAGUAUUGGUCUCUAAUCCAAAAUCAUUUACAAAAUGUUUUUUCAUUUGUUUUUCCUUCAACUUUUGAAACCAUAUUUUUGUGCAAUGUACCAGUGGAUAAACUGAAUUCCAACGACAGAAGACUCCUGUAUAUCCUUCUGGCCGCAAGAAAAAAGCCUCUUACGAGAAGAUAGCUUAAGCCUGAACCACCAACGAUAGAAGACUGGAUACAUUCUGUACAAGAGAUCUAUACGAUGGAAAAAGUGUCAUUUUCUCUUAAACUUCAGAGGGAUACCUUCUAUGGAAUAUGGUCUAAAUGGACAGACUAUGUUAAGCAUAUGAGGUGUGAUUUUUGUAUAUGAUGUUACAACCCUGAGUACUACGUAAACCUACCUGCCCUGCUGCCUCCUAACCCUAGUUUGGUGUUUUUUGUUUUUGUUUUUUUUUGUUUUUUUGUUUUUUUUGUUUGUUUUUUUUUCUUUUCUUUUUCUGUCUUUAUUUUUCAAUUAUAAGUUAAAAUGUGACAGCAAAGAAAGUGUAAAAAGGCAUACUAUUAUGUUCAACAGCUGUCCCAAUAAAAGAGAUAAUAAUAAUAAAAAAGAAAAUACCAUAUUGUAUUCAUACAGAAACAGUAUGGUAACAUUGUUUGUCUGCUCACUGAUUGCUGAAACUAAGAGCUACUUUGAUCUGUUUAGAUCUAAAGUAGCCAAAGUUGAAUGUUUCUUCACCCCUGUGUGUGUGAUAUCUGAUUUCCUACAUGCUGGCAGAGCAGCAGUUUGUGCUCACAGAUGGUGACAGUGUGGAGAGACGGUGGUGUUUCCUCAGAAGAACCAGCAGAGUCACAAAGGACACCAGUCCAUCUCACCACCUUGACUUGCUGACUGAUGUUCGUCUGCACUGCACAGAGGAAAUCAACUGACCGAGAUGGGCAGGAUAUCAGUCUUGGACUGUCUAACCUGCCGGAACAGCACUGAAUGAUCACCACACAUGAGCAUGUUCCUGCAACAUGCAGCAUCUGAUCCUUCAUCUGUGUGCUUCUGCUUUUGUGUCACAUGUCAAACAGCUGGAGAGGAAACUACACCAGUGUACUGGGAUGUUUCAGCAACACGUGCCAGAUGCUGUUCCUUCAUGGUGACAUCACCAGAGACAGCCCCACCCACCUCAGGACCUCGCCAUUGAUCAUGAUGAUUAUAAUGAUGACAGCGAGCGGAACUAAGACUGUAAAAAUCCACGACCAGAAUUUUUCUUUCUAAUUAUUAAUGAAUACUGAGAGCCUCUUUCUGUGUUUUGUCUGUUUUUUGUUUUGUUUUUAAAACCUCAUUUGUUACUAACAAAGUUCACCAAACUCACACAGUUUACAUUCUGUAUGUUUCCAUCUUUACCAGCCACACUCUAACUGCAUUUAAGAAAAUAAUCCUUAGAAAUCGUCGUUUUUCUCUUUUGCAAUUGAUGAUAAUUCAGUGAAUAAACUGCUGUUUGAAUUCUCUGUAUGUUUGACCCUGUAGACUGUUUGAUGGACUGCUUGUCUUCCUGUUUGUUACCGCCGCCUGUUUUUUGACUAAAGAUUUGGAUUUCUGACUUCAACACUAUGAUUUAACUCCAUACAACACAG